CUUUUACAAUGCCAAGUGGUUAAGAAAUCCCCCCCAUGUGCAGGUCUGCUGUUGCUGAGGUGUCUAGGCACCUCCUCUGAUCGUCAUGUUGGAAGUGUGGAAAAAAGGGGAAAGUACUCUGGAUGUGAAAGCGUGGUCUUGUGGUAUGAUUGGCAUGGCAAAAUUAAGGAACCUGGUAGGGAUUUAGUUCCUUGUAGUUGUAAGUACUAAGCAGGAGGUAGUGAUUGAUUUAGUUGAGAAUGUUCCCUAUUUGUCUUGUGGUAACUUUCGUGUAUGGAUGCCGACUUAAGUCAUAUGCCCAGUAAUGUGAUGAUAG
Molecule: non-coding RNA, 316 nt
Organism: Pelobates cultripes (western spadefoot toad)
Lineage: Eukaryota; Metazoa; Chordata; Amphibia; Anura; Pelobatidae
Source: the annotation of a GenBank genome assembly